AUUGAACGCUGGCGGCAUGCCUUACACAUGCAAGUCGAACGGCAGCACGGGUGCUUGCACCUGGUGGCGAGUGGCGAACGGGUGAGUAAUACAUCGGAACGUACCUUAUCGUGGGGGAUAACGCAGCGAAAGCUGUGCUAAUACCGCAUACGCCCUGAGGGGGAAAGCGGGGGAUCGAAAAACCUCGCGCGAUUAGAGCGGCCGAUGCCUGAUUAGCUUGUUGGUGGGGUAAAAGCCCACCAAGGCGACGAUCAGUAGCUGGUCUGAGAGGACGAUCAGCCACACUGGGACUGAGGCACGGCCCAGACUCCUACGGGAGGCAGCAGUGGGGAAUUUUGGACAAUGGGGGCAACCCUGAUCCAGCAAUGCCGCGUGAGUGAAGAAGGCCUUCGGGUUGUAAAGCUCUUUCGCAAGGGAAGAAAACUUAUGAUCGAAUAAAUCAUGAGGUUGACGGUACCUUGAUAAGAAGCACCGGCUAACUACGUGCCAGCCGCCGCGGUAA
Molecule: ribosomal RNA, 502 nt
Filed under: uncultured bacterium
Lineage: Bacteria
Description: partial 16S ribosomal RNA
Rfam family: Bacterial small subunit ribosomal RNA
Source: RNAcentral